UGGGGAAUAUUGCACAAUGGGCGCAAGUCUGAUGCAGCCAUGCCGCGUGUAUGAAGAAGGCCUUCGGGUUGUAAAGUACUUUCAGCGGGGAGGAAGGUGUUGAGGCUAAUAACCUCAGCAAUUGACGUUACCCGCAGAAGAAGCACCGGCUAACUCCGUGCCAGCAGCCGCGGUAAUACGGAGGGUGCAAGCGUUAAUCGGAAUUACUGGGCGUAAAGCGCACGCAGGCGGUCUGUCAAGUCGGAUGUGAAAUCCCCGGGCUCAACCUGGGAACUGCAUUCGAAACUGGCAGGCUAGAGUCUUGUAGAGGGGGGUAGAAUUCCAGGUGUAGCGGUGAAAUGCGUAGAGAUCUGGAGGAAUACCGGUGGCGAAGGCGGCCCCCUGGACAAAGACUGACGCUCAGGUGCGAAAGCGUGGGGAGCAAACA
RNAcentral lists this ribosomal RNA (427 nucleotides) under uncultured bacterium. Its description in RNAcentral is "partial 16S ribosomal RNA". It matches the Rfam family "Bacterial small subunit ribosomal RNA", at positions 355 to 774 of the family's 1533-position model. The record is from RNAcentral.